Molecule: ribosomal RNA, 2847 nt
Filed under: Akkermansia muciniphila
Lineage: Bacteria; Pseudomonadati; Verrucomicrobiota; Verrucomicrobiia; Verrucomicrobiales; Akkermansiaceae
Description: 23S ribosomal RNA
Rfam family: Bacterial large subunit ribosomal RNA
Source: RNAcentral
AUAUGAUGAAGUAAGUAAGGGCGUACGGUGAAUGCCUUGGUGCCAACAGGCGAAGAAGGACGCGGCAAGCUGCGAAAAGCCUCGGGAAGCUGCAAGCAAGCGAUGAUCCGGGGAUAUCCGAAUGGGGUAACCUGAUCGAGGCAAUACUCGAUCGUUCAUACCUGAAUACAUAGGGUAUGAAACGCGAAACCCGCUGAAGUGAAACAUCUCAGUAAGCGGAGGAAAAGAAAGAGAAAUCGAUUCCGUAAGUAGUGGCGAGCGAAAGCGGAUGGAGCCCAAACCGAAGGUAUUCCUUCGGGGUUGUAGGACCACGUCAUAUUCGACCAUACUGGAUAGUAGAACAGCCUGGAAAGGCUGGCCGGAGAAGGUGAAAGCCCUGUAGACGAAAUCCAGAGUGGGAAUUAGUGGUAUCCUGAGUAAUACAUCACACGUGGAACGAUGUAUGAACCCGCGCGGACCACCGCGCAAGGCUAAAUACUAGUUGGCGACCGAUAGUGAACAAGUACCGCGAGGGAAAGGUGAAAAGAACCGCUGUGAGCGGAGUGAAAUAGAACCUGAAACCGUAUGUCUACAAAGUGUCAGAGCAGAGCAAUCUGCGAUGGCGUGCCUUUUGUUUAAUGAGUCUGCGAGUCAGUGUUUGUGGCAAGACUAAGGGCUUCCGGCCCGGAGUCGCAGCGAAAGCAAGUCCGAACAGGGCGCAAUAAGUCGCAGGUACUGGACCCGAAGCGGAGGUGACCUACCCUUGGCCAGGUUGAAGCAUGGGUAAAACCAUGUGGAGGACCGAACAGGUGAACGUUGAAAAGUUCUCUGAUGAGCUGAGGGUAGGAGUGAAAGGCUAAUCAAACCCCGUGAUAGCUGGUUCUCUUCGAAAUGCAUUUAGGUGCAGCGUCACGUGCUGAUGCGCGGGGGUAGAGCACUGACAAGGCUAGGGGGCACACCCGCUUACCAAACCUUAUCAAACUCCGAAUACCGUGCAAUGGAACGUGGCAGUGAGACAGUGGGGGAUAAGCUUCAUUGUCGAGAGGGAAACAACCCAGACCAGCAGCUAAGGUGCCUAAAUAACGCUCAGUGGAAAGGAUGUGGGAUUACACAGACAGUGAGGAUGUUGGCUUAGAAGCAGCCACCAUUUAAAAAAUGCGUAAUAGCUUACUCAUCGAGUGAUCCUGCGCCGAAAAUGAUUGGCGAUCAAGCGUUAUACCGAAGCUCUGGACUUUGCCGCAAGGCAGAGUGGUAGAAGAGCGUUGCAUGCGCGUCGAAGGGCGAUGGCGACUGACCCUGGAGCACAUGCAAGUGAGUAUGCAGACAUGAGUAACGUUAAGCCGGGUGAAAUCCCCGGCCGCCGUAAACCCGAGGUUUCCAGGGCAACGUGUUUCGUCCCUGGGUUAGCCGGGACCUAAGCCGAGGCCGAGAGGCGUAGGCGAUGGACAUCAGGUUAAUAAUCCUGAGCUCGCAACCCUUAAACUGGGGGGACGCAUGAGAAAAGAUGACUAGGUUAUUGAAUUCCGAGUUGAGUCCACGGACUCAGCGCAUCAUUGGAUCGAGUGCCAAGAAAAGCCCCAGCGUAUGCUAAGCGACCCGUACCGCAAACCGACACAGGUGGGUGGGUAGAAUAUACCAAGGCGUAAGAGUGAAACCUGGUUAAGGAACUCGGCAAAUUAGCCCCGUAACUUCGGAAGAAGGGGUGCCUGCAGCGAUGCAGGCCGCAGAGAAAUGGCCCAACCGACUGUUUAUCAAAAACACAGCACUCUGCAAAGACGCAAGUCGAAGUAUAGGGUGUGACACGUGACCAAUGCCGAAAGAUUAAGGCAAGGGGUUAGCCGCAAGGCGAAGCUCUAAACCCAAGUCCCGGUGAAUGUCGGCCGUAACUAUAACGGUCCUAAGGUAGCGAAAUUCCUUGUCGGGUAAGUUCCGACCUGCACGAAUCGUGAAACGAGUUGGGCACUGUCUCAACCAGGCGCUCAGUGAAAUUGUAGUGGCGGUGAAGAUGCCGCCUACCCGCAGAAGGACGGAGAGACCCUAUAGACCUUAACUGUAAGCUGUCAUUGUUUCUUCGGUUUUAAUGCUCAGAGUAAGUGGGAGACGCUGAAGACGCCCUUUAGGGGGCGUCCGAGUCAUCAAUGAGACACCACCCUUUGAAACUGGAGGAUCUAACCCUGAGCCGUGAAUCCGGCCAGAGGACCGUGUCAGCCGGUCAGUUUUACUGGGGCGGUAUCCUCCCAAAGAGUAACGGAGGAGCGCGAAGGUGGGCUCAGCCCGGUUGGCAACCGGGUGUCGAGUGCAUGGGCAUAAGCCCGCCUAACUGUGAGACCAACAAGUCGAGCAGAUGCGAAAGCAGGCCCAAGUGAUCCGGCGGUAGAAAGUGGAAUUGCCGUCGCUCAACGGAUAAAAGGUACCUUAGGGAUAACAGGCUGAUCACGCCCAAGAGUUCAUAUCGACGGCGUGGUUUGGCACCUCGAUGUCGGCUCGUCGCAUCCUGGGGCUGGAGAAGGUCCCAAGGGUCCGGCUGUUCGCCGGUUAAAGCGGCACGCGAGCUGGGUUCAGAACGUCGCGAGACAGUUCGGUCCUCUAUCCUCUGUGGGCGUUGGAAAAUUGAGGGGUUCAGACCUUAGUACGAGAGGACCGGGUCUGACGCACCACUGGUGCAUCGGUUGUACUGUCAAGUGCAUGGCCGAGUAGCUAAGUGCGGACGGGAUAAGCGCUGAAAGCAUCUAAGCGCCAAGCCCUUCCCAAGAUGAGUUUUCCCUACAGGUUCGUGGAAGACCACCACGUUGAUAGGUCGCAGGUGUAAGUGCAGCAAUGUAUUGAGCCGAGCGAUACUAAUUACCAAUUGACUUCAUCAUAUUACAU